RNAcentral lists this ribosomal RNA (478 nucleotides) under uncultured bacterium. RNAcentral's name for it is "bacterial SSU rRNA". It matches the Rfam family "Bacterial small subunit ribosomal RNA", at positions 28 to 505 of the family's 1533-position model. The record is from RNAcentral.
GACGAACGCUGGCGGCGUGCUUAAUACAUGCAAGUCAACUGAACUUUAGGUAGCAAUAUUUAAAGGGAGGUGGCGCACGGGUGAGUAACACGUAGGUAAUCUGCCUUCAGAACUGACAUAACUCCGCGAAAGCGGGACUAAAAUCAGAUGAUGCAGCGGCUCGACAUCGAGACAGUUGUUAAACCUUCGGGGCCUGAAGAUGAGCCUGCGUCUGAUUAGGUAGUUGGAGGGGUAAUGGCCCACCAAGCCUGCGAUCAGUAGCUGGUCUGAGAGGAUGAUCAGCCACACUGGAACUGAGACACGGUCCAGACUCCUACGGGAGGCAGCAGUAAGGAAUAUUGCUCAAUGGCCGAAAGGCUGAAGCAGCAACGCCGCGUGGAGGAUGAAAUACUUUAGUAUGUAAACUCCUGUAAGAGGGGAAAAAUAUACAGUUCUGCUGUAUUGAUUGUACCCUCAGAGUAAGCACCGGCUAACUACG